UGCAGCAGCGUGGUUUGACGAGAGAUUUCCGUGGCGCCACCCAAAGUCCCCUCUUUCCUCUCCCCAAUCUCUGUAGCCGCCACACCGGUCCUCCUCCAUCCUCUCUCCCUCCCUCCCUCGUCAGCCACGAGACCCACCGCCUCCUUCCUCUCCGCCGUGAAGUUUCGUUCUCUUGUCCUCCGGAGCUCCUCUCAUGUCGUCAUGCUCGCGCAAAGCACCGCGUCCACCCAACCAUCUUUGCUGCGCAAGGCGGCCGGAGGACGAACAACGGCGGUCCGAGCUCCGCUGCCUCCAUCCAUGUCUCAUCCUCCUCUUGCGCGCCGGCCGACCGGAGGCUGCCUCCUGGUGGGUGGUAGGUGCGAGCGAUGACGCUGGAGGCCAGAUCUGGAAGCUUAGCUAAUGCAGCACCGUGACAACUUCGAUGCGAGCACUAGGUGUUUGUUUAAAUGCUCAAGGAGGACUGUUCAGGGGAGGACGACAGCUUUCAGGUGGAGCACCGUAUGUUCUCUUAUCAGUACGAGAUGCCAAAUGUUAGUUAAGUUCAUGAUUUGUGCCUUUUGUUCUCACAUAAGUGCCAUUAAUUUAUUAUGAUUCCUGGAGCUAGCUUGUACACAUGGACAUAGGAUUGAGAUUUGCCUACUGUAAGAGUAUGACCAUACAUGAUUUAGGACAUGCAUUUAGCAGAGCAGCAUGGUUAAAGAAACAGUCAGAUUAGCAUGCUACUUCAUAACUAAUAUUUUCUAGGAACAAUCAACUCAUGUCAUGCAAAACAGUACACACAUGCAUGCAAUUUGAUCUAUGUACACAAGUUGCUGGUUAACACAGAGUACAUAAGUGGUUAAAGAGCUACCAACAGAGCAUGCGAUUCAUGUUAAUUAACUGAACAAUGCUCGUGCAGCUCUGAAGCUAAGUUUUGGGAGAUUGUGAGGUCUAGGAGAAUCCGGACAGGGAAUAUGCACACCACCACUCUACUCUACUAGAAUCAUACAAUUUGGACUGCAUGCCUUAAUUAGUUAUGAUGGAAUUAAGGAAGUGUGUUUGUGCGAGCAAUAGGUAACAUGUCAAGCGAGGGUGUAAUAGAGAAUAUGAAGCAGGAGCUGGUCAUGCUGCUGCUCAAGGAGGAAGAGGAGGUGAAGGCGACACAGAGGAGCUUGCCAUAGCUGCUUGCCAGCUCCGGGAAUUCCUCCUUCCAGAAGCACAACGCCAUGUCCUAGAGUGUUCUUAAUAUGGUGGGUGAUUGAAGCGAAAGCAUGAGGAGCAGUUCAAAGGGCGGAUGGAGCAUGUGACUUGUGUGGAAAUAACAAAUUUUCUUUUAGAUGAUUUGAGUGUAUGCUGAUGCGUGAAAGUCAAUCAUUUGGAUUCCCAACUAGCCUAUUGUGUGUGUUCAAUAUUUUGUUGCGCAUUGACAAAAUGUUUUCAGUGCCCGAGUGCGCAAGUUGAAUUUUGAAACAUAUGAGAGGAUAACCCUGCAAAAGGGAAUUUGCCCUUUAUGAAGGUUCGGGCUUGCUGUUGUAAUUAAAAGUAGGAGAUUUAUAUAUACCUAUAAUAGAAUAAUUCCUCAA
Long non-coding RNA from Triticum aestivum (bread wheat), 1562 nucleotides. RefSeq lists it as uncharacterized. The record is from RefSeq and is a predicted model, not a curated record. NCBI's taxonomy places the organism in Eukaryota, Viridiplantae, Streptophyta, Magnoliopsida, Poales, Poaceae. The transcript is spliced from 3 exons.